UACGGAGGGGGCUAGCGUUGUUCGGAAUUACUGGGCGUAAAGCGCACGUAGGCGGAUCGUUAAGUCGGGGGUGAAAUCCCAGGGCUCAACCCUGGAACUGCCUUCGAUACGGGCGAUCUGGAGGUCGAGAGAGGCGAGUGGAAUGCCGAGUGUAGAGGUGAAAUUCGUAGAUAUUCGGCGGAACACCAGUGGCGAAGGCGGCUCGCUGGCUCGAUACUGGCGCUGAGGUGCGAAAGCGUGGGGAGCAGACAGG
RNAcentral lists this ribosomal RNA (253 nucleotides) under uncultured bacterium. RNAcentral's name for it is "partial 16S ribosomal RNA". It matches the Rfam family "Bacterial small subunit ribosomal RNA", at positions 524 to 776 of the family's 1533-position model. The record is from RNAcentral.